AAAGAAAGAGAAAGAAAAAAUAGGAAAAACCACUUCCGAAGGCAGUAAUAAGUCUUUUGGAAAUACAGUCUAAUUCUAAACCUGAUACAUGAUGCUAUGCGUUUAACAAUUCAGACUUCUGCCGGGAUUGUCUCUAAUUGAAAAGUCUCGCUUAGACUGGGUUGUUUCCGGAGGCUGCAGUCGCUCCAAUGGCAAGGCUUUAAUAUCAUCAUGCGCAGGUGUUCCGCCCAAGGAGGAAACGACUUGAAGUGCUACUUCGGCGGUUUUGGUAGGUGAAGAGUUGCGCCGAGCCCAUUGUUUGUGCUACUAGGGAAUACAUCGACUGUGAAGCGCAUUUCGUUAAACACUUUGCUCGCUGGCCGGCUGGAGAUUAUUCUGCUCUAUGGCCAGCCAAGUUCAGUUUAGAUCUGUUGGCGGAAUCAUACCAGCAAGAUCAGCAGAGAUUCAUAUUUUUUAAGAGAAAACUAGAGCAUCGCCCAGUCUUUAAGGACCAAUACUAGGCUUUUAUUGAGACGUACUUGCAAAUGGCACAUCGCAUCCAGUUGCAAUCACAGGAGAUAUCUGUAAAAUGUACCGGUGUAUCAGGGAUUCCCCUGAGGAUAGCUACAUGCAGUGCCUUGUGUGGAGAGAUUUUCCUCAAUAUGAUCUGAGCGUGUUAAAGCUGGAAGCUCUUAAGUAUGGCACGAAGCCUGCUUCCUACCUAGCUGUGAGGUCGAUUCAUCAAUUGUCUAUGGAUGAGGAGGCGGCAUUUCAGUGGGAGUUGAGAUUCUUCGAUGUGACUUUUAUGUUGAUUAUUUGAUAUCUAGCGCCAGCUCCAAAAAAGAAGAAAUCAACAUAAUACAUCAGACGUCCGCGCACUUGUCCAGAGCCACUUUUAAACUAAGGAAGUGGUGCUCAAAUGUACCGGAUGUUUUGGAAGAAGUUCCGGAAGAUGAUAAGAAGUAUUUUUGAAGUUUCAUGAUGGAGGCGAUUUUACAAACACACGGGAUACGGUGUCUGAUCAGCUGUUCCCAUAUUCAUCACUUCAAUCAACAGCAAGGCCAUGCCGACGUUCAGUUUUAUCCGCAAUCUCUCGGUUCUACGAUCACAAAUCACAAAGUCUAAUAUCUUUCUUCAUAUGUACCAAACCGAGUGGCUGCAAUUCAGGAGUGGUGAAAUGGAAUGGCGCUACAUUCACACUGCUUUAAAAACGGCAGUAAGAGCUCUUCCCAGCUAGCUUAACGACUCCCCUUUGUGGACUCAUGGACCGCUCUUUCUGAGCAGCCCCAUAACUUUCAAAGGGAUCCCAGAGCCAUGCUCUAGAGACAGGCGAGCACAACAACAUUUGUGGCUUUGCUAAAGCACUCAAGUCUUUUUUAAUAGUGUAUAGUUAGCGCAAGGGCCUGAUUGAGAUCUCUAACACUUGAAGACGACUAGCUAGUGCUGGACCCGAUACUGUGCACCGAAAAUACAGAUCCCUAGAAUCCGGACACUUCGAUCGAACGUUUCAUACUUCAGUUAUAAUUCAAUAUUAUUAACUAAGAAAAGUGUUACUUUAGCUAGUCUAAAUAAUUCUUGGAUAACAGUUUUGUGAGUAUUAUUGAGUGAGCAUUUUUGACAUUUUUCUGUGUAUUCUUUUCUAAGACAAGGUAUUUUAAAUGCCUGUACGUCCUUCCUUAUUGGAUCGUCAUGUAGCGUAGACAAAAUUGCUUCAUUUUCGGUAAUUACUAGCUAUUAUCUUACUUUUCUCAAUACACUGAUGCCCAUUUUUUUUAAAUGAGCAAUUGAAACGUAAUCAAAGAUAUUUUCCCACGGUGACACUUUAAAUUGACUGAUUUUGUAUAUACCGGCCUAUUUUUCAAGCAUUAGAAAAAAUGUAUCUACAUCAAUUUGUAUAUCAAUCAUCAACAUUAUAUCUUUUAGUAAUUAUUUUUCCAUGAUUAAGACAACAUAGCAUAGAACAUAGCUUUUUUGGAUUUGUUCAUCUACUUCAAUAAAUUAUAUAUAUAUAGUGACAUAAAACCUAAAUUUUAAAAAGAAUUACUCUUCAAAAGCCUCACAGCAAAUGUUAAAGGAUAAGAAACUUAACUUAUCGAUAAACAUAAAUGUAAAGCUUCGUUGAACUUUAAAGUUUGCUGGGCCAUAGGAAUAAUUGUAUAAAUCACUUAUUAGGUGUCUCAGAUGAAAUGAACUAAAUAUAAGUCUAUAAAAUAAAAAUUAUAAUUAAAAAACAAGAGAGAAUGCUACAGUCGACUUUACCGACUAUCUGAUAGCCGUUACUCAGCUAGUGCGAACGCGUAAUUUCAUAAUUUUUAUGGGAUACCGGUAGAUAUUGGUGAAUAAAAUGGGAAAAAAAUUAAAAAUGGUUUAAAAGUGUGGGCGCGGCGGUUUUCGACGGUUUGUGGGUCUGUAUGCUUAAUCCAACCUUCUAGCCUUUAUAAUUUUUGAAAUCUGACAUCCUAGACUGUCAUAACUUUGUAUAUUGACAAAUCAAAGUCGUUGUCGCAUUACUUACCGCCUCUUUAGUUAAAUCAGAAGGUAUUCCAGAGGUGAAUGCCAUGUUCGUUGCGGUGGGUAGACAAUGGUCAAAGAUUUUUAUCGAGCUUUUACAAAUUUUGUUUGACGUAAAUGUUGGGAGUGAACUC
Long non-coding RNA from Drosophila simulans, 2624 nucleotides. RefSeq lists it as uncharacterized. The record is from RefSeq and is a predicted model, not a curated record. NCBI's taxonomy places the organism in Eukaryota, Metazoa, Arthropoda, Insecta, Diptera, Drosophilidae. The transcript has 2 exons.